AUGUGCAUAAUGUUGAGAGUAUUGGGAACGACAAUGCUUGAUCUUCAUUCUUGCUAGAUUAGGCACGUCAUUGUCUAGCCAUAGAUGGGGGUGAGUGUUGUAAAGUUUGAUUUGGGAGUAUGAGAAAGUGGAAGGAAAAGAGUGAACUCUUGUGCUUAAUUGACUAGUCUUUAUGGGAUAAGUUGAGAAACUUCUAGCUCAGUUUAUGAAAAGUCUUGGCCCCAGAAAAAAAAAAAAGAGAAAGAAACAGAAAAGAAAAAAUAUAUACAUAUAUGAAAAAAAAAAAAAGAGAAAAAAGGAAGAAAGGGGGUUAGCAAAACUGUUUAGAGCUAAGUUUUGUUUUGAAGUUAAGAAAAAUCCUUAUGAGAUUUCAAAGAAAAGAGUUUUGUGUGCAGGGCGUUCUUGAGAUCUUUUGGUGAGAGAUGUGAGUUGGGCUUGACAUUGGGGAAAGAUUGUGUAAUUGUAUGUUUGGUUAAAGGGUAGAACAAUGGAGAUUGAACAUUGUAUGCAUGAGUUGGUCCCUUUCUUAGAUAUAUUAUGUGCAAUG
Molecule: long non-coding RNA, 547 nt
Filed under: Brassica napus (rape)
Lineage: Eukaryota; Viridiplantae; Streptophyta; Magnoliopsida; Brassicales; Brassicaceae
Description: long non-coding RNA (BNAP_LNC009070)
Source: RNAcentral